Molecule: ribosomal RNA, 483 nt
Filed under: uncultured bacterium
Lineage: Bacteria
Description: partial 16S ribosomal RNA
Rfam family: Bacterial small subunit ribosomal RNA
Source: RNAcentral
AUUGAACGCUGGCGGCAGGCCUAACACAUGCAAGUCGAGCGGAUGAAGGGAGCUUGCUCCUGGAUUCAGCGGCGGACGGGUGAGUAAUGCCUAGGAAUCUGCCUGGUAGUGGGGGAUAACGUCCGGAAACGGGCGCUAAUACCGCAUACGUCCUGAGGGAGAAAGUGGGGGAUCUUCGGACCUCACGCUAUCAGAUGAGCCUAGGUCGGAUUAGCUAGUUGGUGGGGUAAGGCCUACCAAGGCGACGAUCCGUAACUGGUCUGAGAGGAUGAUCAGUCACACUGGAACUGAGACACGGUCUAGACUCCUACGGGAGGCAGCAGUGGGGAAUAUUGGACAAUGGGCGAAAGCCUGAUCCAGCCAUGCCGCGUGUGUGAAGAAGGUCUUCGGAUUGUAAAGCACUUUAAGUUAGGAGGAAGGGCAGUAAGUUAAUACCUUGCUGUUUUGACGUUACCAACAGAAUAAGCACCGGCUAACUUCGUG